Molecule: RNA transcript, 1183 nt
Organism: Lynx canadensis (Canada lynx)
Lineage: Eukaryota; Metazoa; Chordata; Mammalia; Carnivora; Felidae
Gene: HUS1
Gene name: HUS1 checkpoint clamp component
Exons: 9
Source: RefSeq, a predicted model, not a curated record
CAGGGCACUUCACCCGGGAUCCCCGCCUCCCACGGGGCGGGCCGGGCGGCGGAACCAAUGAGCGCGCGGCGGCGUUUCCGGCGGGACGCUUAGGAGGAGACUCGAGUCCGCGGCCGACUGACACCCUGCGCGGGCCUGCGUCCCGCCAUGAAGUUUCGGGCCAAGAUCGUGGACACGGCCUGUCUGAACCACUUCACACGCGUCAGCAACAUGAUCGCCAAGCUCGCCAAAACCUGUACCCUCCGCAUCAGCCCAGAUAAGCUGAACUUCAUCCUCUCCGACAAAGUGGCCAAUGGAGGCGUGAGCAUGUGGUGUGAGCUGGAACAGGAGAACUUCUUCAGUGAAUUUCAGAUGGAAGGUGUCUCUGCUGAAAACAACGAGAUUUAUUUAGAGCUGACGUCGGAAAAUUUAUCUCGAGCUUUGAGAACUGCCCAGAAUGCCAGAGCCUUGAAGAUCAAGCUGACUAAUAAACACUUCCCCUGCCUCACGGUCUCCAUAGAGCUGUUAUCAGUGUCGAAUAGUAGCCGCGUUGUGACACAUGACAUCCCCGUUAGGGUCAUUCCUAGAAAAUUGUGGAAGGAUUUGCAAGAGCCUACAGUCCCAGACGCCGACGUUAGCAUCUAUUUGCCAGUUUUGAAGACCAUGAAGAGCAUCGUGGAAAAAAUGAAAAACAUCAGCAAUCACCUUAUCAUUGAAGCAAACCUAAAUGGAGAAUUGAACUUGAAAAUAGAAACGGAGCUAGUGUGCGUUACAACCCACUUUAAGGAUCUCGGGAACCCUCCGUCAGCCUCUGAAGACGCGUCUCAGGAUAGAAACCCGGAGCAGAUGGCCGAGGUGCGCAUCGAUAUCCGGAGGCUCCUGCAGUUCCUUGCCGGACAGCAAGUGAACCCGACAAAGGCCGUGUGCAGGCAGUUUUCCUGGAUUCAGCAGCACCUGGAGAUUCUGAUCUGGGGCCCUGCAGCCAUGCUGGCUUGGCUGCCUCGCCCGGCCACCACGAGUGGGUCUGCGCCUAAGGAGAAGCUUCCAGAGGACAGCUGUUGAUCGUCCAGGCUGCUCUGUUAAUCUGGCCCGACAGCCAUAGCCCCUGACCCCACUGGACUUAGACUUAAGACAUCGUGAGCAACAAGAUCGUCCAUUUUGAUUUGCUCCACGAGGACGUCUCCCUGCAGUACUUCAUCCCGGC